RNAcentral lists this transfer RNA (69 nucleotides) under Tridacna noae. RNAcentral's name for it is "tRNA-Ser". The record is from RNAcentral. Lineage: Eukaryota; Metazoa; Mollusca; Bivalvia; Cardiida; Cardiidae.
AAGCGAUAAACAUAGGUGUUGCGGGGGCCUUGAAAGCCUUUGAGGGGUGUGCAAUCCAUCCGUCGUUUA